AUUGAACGCUGGCGGCAUGCUUUACACAUGCAAGUCGAACGGUAACAGGGUGCUUGCACCGCUGACGAGUGGCGAACGGGUGAGUAAUGCGUCGGAACGUGCCGAGUAGUGGGGGAUAACGCAGCGAAAGUUGUGCUAAUACCGCAUACGUACUGAGGUAGAAAGUGGGGGACAUUCGGGCCUCACGCUAUUCGAGCGGCCGACGUCUGAUUAGCUAGUAGGUGAGGUGAAGGCUCACCUAGGCGACGAUCAGUAGCGGGUCGGAGAGGAUGAUCCGCAACACUGGGAAUGAGACACGGCCCAGACUCCUACGGGAGGCAGCAGUGGGGAAUUUUGGACAAUGGGCGAAAGCCUGGUCCAGCCAUGCCGCGUGUCUGAAGAAGGCCUUCGGGUUGUAAAGGACUUUUGUCAGGGAGGAAAUCCCUAGUGCUAAUAACACUGGGGGAUGACAGUACCUGAAGAAUAAGCACCGGCUAACUACGUGCCAGCAGCAGCCGCCG
Molecule: ribosomal RNA, 500 nt
Filed under: uncultured bacterium
Lineage: Bacteria
Description: partial 16S ribosomal RNA
Rfam family: Bacterial small subunit ribosomal RNA
Source: RNAcentral